Molecule: ribosomal RNA, 237 nt
Filed under: uncultured bacterium
Lineage: Bacteria
Description: partial 16S ribosomal RNA
Rfam family: Bacterial small subunit ribosomal RNA
Source: RNAcentral
UGAGCAAUCUGCCCUUCUCUUCGGAAUAAGCGUUGGAAACGACGUCUAAUGCCGAAUACGACCUCCUUUCACAUGAUCGGAGGUGGAAAGCUCCGGCGGAGAAGGAUGAGCUCGCGGCCUAUCAGCUGGUUGGUGUGGGUAACGGCCCGCCAAGGCGACGACGGGUAGCCGGUCUGAGAGGGCGAUCGGCCACACUGGGACUGAGACACGGCCCAGACCUCCGUACGGGAGGNAGCG